UUGCUUGUUUCAGCAGCACCUAUACUAAAAUUGGAACGAUACAGAGAAGAUUAGCAUGGCCCCUGCCCAAGGAUGACACACAAAUUUGUGAAGUGUUCCAUAUUAAA
RNAcentral lists this small nuclear RNA (107 nucleotides) under Prolemur simus (greater bamboo lemur). Lineage: Eukaryota; Metazoa; Chordata; Mammalia; Primates; Lemuridae. The record is from RNAcentral.